Molecule: RNase P RNA, 221 nt
Filed under: Gammaproteobacteria bacterium
Lineage: Bacteria; Pseudomonadati; Pseudomonadota; Gammaproteobacteria
Description: partial RNase P RNA component class A
Rfam family: Bacterial RNase P class A
About the family: Ribonuclease P (RNase P) is a ubiquitous endoribonuclease, found in archaea, bacteria and eukarya as well as chloroplasts and mitochondria. Its best characterised activity is the generation of mature 5'-ends of tRNAs by cleaving the 5'-leader elements of precursor-tRNAs.
Source: RNAcentral
ACCGCCUACAAUGUGGGUAAGGGUGAAAAGGUGUGGUAAGAGCACACCGCGUAACAGGCAACUGAUUAUGGCUAUGCAAACCCCGUCUGGAGCAAGACCAAAUAGAAGCUCUAUAGUCAGUCCUGACUGAGCUUGGGUAGGUUGCUUGAAUCUUGUGGCGACACAAGAUCUAGAUGAAUGAUUAUCCUAGACAGAACCCGGCUUAUAGGCUAGCUCAAACC